Symphalangus syndactylus (siamang) is the source of this 1267-nucleotide long non-coding RNA. RefSeq lists it as uncharacterized. The record is from RefSeq and is a predicted model, not a curated record. Lineage: Eukaryota; Metazoa; Chordata; Mammalia; Primates; Hylobatidae.
CCUACCAGAACCCUGCCUAGUCUAAAGCAGUGAAGUAAAACUUGUUUUUAAUUUUGAAAACUAUUUUCAUGUAGUAAUAGUGAAAACAUCAGAAAGGACUUAUGACAAGAAUUACCAAUCUUUUUCCCUAAACACUCUUUGUCCAUCCUCCCAAUCAAUGCCUAGAGGCAAAAACUUUUAAUUCUCUUCAGUUUUACCUUUGAUGGUUACCGCCAUACCUCAAAAUAAUACACUAAGGCCACUCUUAGUGCUAUGUCAACUGGAGACAUUAUCCAUUUCUCCUGAUGGGCUAGAUGAGGAUUUACCUCACUUGCACCACCCCUACCUUCCCUUCCUCUCUCCUCCCAAUUUUUGAUAGCUAUAUUAGUAUUUUAAACUUCCUAUACUGCUUACCACAUACAUUUAAAGAGUAGAUAUAAACUACUGUUUCUUGUCCUGUUGCUUUCAAAUGCAUCUCUUGACCCCCCAUUUUGCAAAAUGAAGGUAUUUCCUUCCCAACCUUUUUUCUUCCCUUUUCACCUCCGUGUCUCUUUUUUUUUUUUUUUUUUUUUUUGAGACGGAGUCUCGCGCUCUCACCCAGGCGCGAUCUCGGCUCACUGCAAGCUCCGCCUCCGGGGUUCACGCCAUUCUGCUGCCUCAGCCUCUCCGAGGAGCUGGGACUACAGGCGCCCGCCACCACGCCCGGCUAAUUUUUUGUAUUUUUAGUAGAGACGGGGUUUCACCGUGGUCUCCAUCUCCUCACCUCGUGAUCCGCCCGCCUCGGCCUCCCAAAGUGCUGGGAUUACAAGCGUGAGCCACCGCGCCCGGCCUCGCCUCCAUGUUUCUGUUAAGUGAGGAGGUUGUCCUUCGAGAAGAAUCUGCUAGAAAGAAUUUCCAAUGCUUCUUAAUUUUGGAGGGCCACAACUGGCCAAGAGGGCCCCAAUUUACCUGACUUGGUUUCCAGGUCUCCCAGCACACUACUGUGGCCCUGAGAGAGCAGCUGUGAACUCAACUCAAGAAAAUCUCCUUCACGUUUCUCUGAGGCUGAUGGUCCAGCUGCUAUGUUGUGAGGUGCCCUAUGGAGUAGCCUAUGUGGCAAGUAACCAAAGGAGACCACCAGCUAACAGCUCAUGAGAGAAGGAGGCCUCUGUCCAGCACCCUGCAAUGAACUGAAUCUAUCCAACAACCACAGAAAUAAACUUGCAAGUGAGUUUCCCAGGUGAGUCUUCAGCUGAGAUCACAGCCCCAGUCAACAUUUUGAUGGAAGCCUGUAAGAGACCCUGGGACA